This 879-nucleotide ribosomal RNA is filed under the name Sanguinoderma tricolor. Its description in RNAcentral is "Polyporaceae sp. YFS-2021f partial large subunit ribosomal RNA". It matches the Rfam family "Eukaryotic large subunit ribosomal RNA", at positions 78 to 944 of the family's 3401-position model. The record is from RNAcentral. Lineage: Eukaryota; Fungi; Basidiomycota; Agaricomycetes; Polyporales; Polyporaceae.
CCCUAGUAACUGCGAGUGAAGCGGGAAAAGCUCAAAUUUAAAAUCUGACGGUCUUUGGCUGUCCGAGUUGUAGUCUGGAGAAGUGCUUUCCGCGCUGGACCGUGUAUAAGUCUCUUGGAACAGAGCGUCAUAGAGGGUGAGAAUCCCGUCUUUGACACGGACUACCAGUGCUUUGUGAUGCGCUCUCGAAGAGUCGAGUUGUUUGGGAAUGCAGCUCAAAAUGGGUGGUGAAUUCCAUCUAAAGCUAAAUAUUGGCGAGAGACCGAUAGCGAACAAGUACCGUGAGGGAAAGAUGAAAAGCACUUUGGAAAGAGAGUUAAACAGUACGUGAAAUUGCUGAAAGGGAAACGCUUGAAGUCAGUCGCGUUGUCCGGGACUCAGCCUUGCUUUUGCUUGGUGCACUUUCCGGAUAACGGGCCAGCAUCGAUUUUGACCGUCGGAAAAGGGCUAGGGUAAUGUGGCACCUCCGGGUGUGUUAUAGACCUUAGUCGCAUACGGCGGUCGGGAUCGAGGAACGCAGCGCGCCGUAAGGCAGGGGUUCGCCCACAUUCGCGCUUAGGAUGCUGGCGUAAUGGCUUUAAACGACCCGUCUUGAAACACGGACCAAGGAGUCUAACAUACCUGCGAGUGUUUGGGUGGUAAACCCGAGCGCGUAAUGAAAGUGAAAGUUGAGACCUCUGUCGUGGAGGGCAUCGACGCCCGGACCUGACGUUCUCUGACGGAUCCGCGGUAGAGCAUGUAUGUUGGGACCCGAAAGAUGGUGAACUAUGCCUGAAUAGGGUGAAGCCAGAGGAAACUCUGGUGGAGGCUCGUAGCGAUUCUGACGUGCAAAUCGAUCGUCAAAUUUGGGUAUAGGGGCGAAAGACUAAUCGAACCAUC